Non-coding RNA from Vigna umbellata (rice bean), 187 nucleotides. The record is from RefSeq and is a predicted model, not a curated record. Lineage: Eukaryota; Viridiplantae; Streptophyta; Magnoliopsida; Fabales; Fabaceae.
AAAAAAAGAAGAGAAGAAAGGGCACUUGAGAAAGCACGACGACAUGAAGAAGAAAUGGGGCUUAUGAUGUGACACAGAUUAAUAGAGUAGCCUUUGCUGCCUCCCUGUGCAUUCGGGCAUCUGCAACUUGCAGACCUACCAUGAGUGAGGUUACCUACAAGGAUACCAGUGGGUCAUCAAAGGAGAA